UCACGCAUCGCGUCUCCCCCAAAUCCACCUCGAGUGGAGGGGAAGGAGGAUGGUCUCCCGUGACUCACCGUUGCGGCUGGCCUAAAAUUGGAGCCCUCGGCAUUGGGAUGCCGCGGCGAUAGGUGGUGGACGAGGCCUCGGCCAAGCAAGCAACCCGCCGUGCGUCGCGAUGCCAAUGUGAGUUCGAAGGACCCUUUAACGUUGCCUAACGGCACCCUAACCGUUGCGAC
Molecule: ribosomal RNA, 230 nt
Filed under: Silene oblanceolata
Lineage: Eukaryota; Viridiplantae; Streptophyta; Magnoliopsida; Caryophyllales; Caryophyllaceae
Source: RNAcentral